Molecule: long non-coding RNA, 846 nt
Organism: Manis pentadactyla (Chinese pangolin)
Lineage: Eukaryota; Metazoa; Chordata; Mammalia; Pholidota; Manidae
Exons: 5
Source: RefSeq, a predicted model, not a curated record
UCUUGGAGGCUAGAGAUCUGAAAUCAAGGUGUUGGUGGGGCCCUGCUCCCUCUGAAGACUCAAGGGGAGAAUCCUCCCUUGUCACUUCCAGCCUCUGGUGGUUGCAGGAGAUCCUCGGCUUGUAGGCUCCUCAUUCCAGGUUCUACAAAGACCUUAUUCCCCAGUCAGGUCAUUUACAGGAACCACAGAUUUCAACUCUGCAAAAGAGCCUGAGGUGUGUCACAUGCCAAGAAAGACUGGGCACGUUUGUUCCUCGGCACAUGGACCAAAGACCGCUAGACACAAUGAUUUCAACAUAUGCCUCUCUGCUAAAAACAAAACAACACCCCCAGGAUGGGCCAGAGACUGCAGACAAAAUUUACAUUAAUUAAGAAAAUAAACAGUUUUCAAGUACCCUGGAACUGUCUAUAAACACCUACUCAGACAGUCCUACUUUCAGUCUGGGAGACUGAGGCCCAUGAGGACCUGAUGGCUUCGUGCCUCAGAAGCUGCUCACGCUGGGUAUGGAGCGCUUGCCUUGCAAAUUCCAGAUCAUCAUGAAAAGCUACUGACAAAUGGCCCCAGUUUUUCCCACCUGGUCACGCAACAUGCAGAGCAUCAUCCUGUCUCCUCUUCACCUCUAGCCAUGGAAGUCGGUUGUAUCAUGGUUUCCAUUGUGCAGGUGAAGAGCCCAGUGCAUAGAGGUGAAGUCACUUGCUGCAGCUCACAGGGUUACUGCAGAGUUUCAGGCCUCACGCUCCUCAGACUUGGGGGCUGCCCAGUGGAAGGAGAUACCCAACUAUUUUUGACAUGUCUCUGAGUCCAUCAUGGACAAUCAGAUAAAGGUUUACAAAUGUCAGCUCUGUG